AUAAAAUGUAUAUUAAGGCAAGACUCCAAAACCUGAUUGGUAUCAAAGAGUGAAGCACAUUGUCUUACAUGUGCCUCAAUCACACCAUUGCUAGGUGGUCGAGGGAAGUGAUUGUCCUGCUCUACCAUGCGCUGGUGCGGCCUCACCUCGAGUACCGUGUGCAGUUUGGGGCACCACAGUAUAAGGACAUAAAACUAUUAGAGAGCCUCCAAAGGAGGGUGGCAAAGAUGGUGAAGGGUCUAGAGGGGAAGACACAUGAGGAGCAGCUGAAGUAACUUGGAUUAGAGCCCAGCCCAGAGAAGAGGAAACUGAGGGGAGGCCUAAUGGCGGCCUGCAGCUUCCUCAUGAGGGGAGCGGAGGGACAGGCGCUGAGCUCUGGGGACAAUGACAGGACCCGAGGGAACGGCAUGGAGCUGUGACAGGAGAGGCUCAGGCUGGAUUUUUGGGUGCUCCUAUGUGGAGCCAGGAGUUGAACUCGAUGAUCCUUGUGGAUCCCUUCCAACUCAGGAUACUCUAUGAUUAUAAAUCAAAAAAUAUUCUUCCCAUUUCACCAUGGAGACAGACUUUUGACAACUGCUUGGAUAGAAGUGUGGAGCCUGAGAAACUGGCAUGUUUUGGGAGUUUGGCCAUGCUUACCCUGAGUUUGUCCUGACCUACCUAGAGGAACUAAAUGAAAGAGGAGGUGACCCAGACAGAAAACCGCAUUCACCAUGGGGCCUGAUCUGCAGCUCAUCAGGAGAUAGACAGCAGCUCAGCAGAAGAGAUUCUGCAAAAAAAUGUCAGCAACCCCAAUCAGAAACAACUUUCAGGACCUUUGGACGCCCAUUUAAUGCCUGCAGAUCCCCUAGGGGAGACUACACAGCUGACAGUGGCACUGGUGAGGAAACUAGAAGAGAAACAUCCUAA
Molecule: long non-coding RNA, 906 nt
Filed under: Anser brachyrhynchus (Pink-footed goose)
Lineage: Eukaryota; Metazoa; Chordata; Aves; Anseriformes; Anatidae
Description: lncRNA (ENSABRG00000017985.1)
Source: RNAcentral